This 76-nucleotide transfer RNA is filed under the name Ahrensia sp. Its description in RNAcentral is "tRNA-Lys". It matches the Rfam family "tRNA". Rfam says of the family: Transfer RNA (tRNA) molecules are approximately 80 nucleotides in length. Their secondary structure includes four short double-helical elements and three loops (D, anti-codon, and T loops). Lineage: Bacteria; Pseudomonadati; Pseudomonadota; Alphaproteobacteria; Hyphomicrobiales; Ahrensiaceae. The record is from RNAcentral. RNAcentral also lists the same sequence under 3 other names.
GGGUGUGUAGCUCAGAUGGUAGAGCAGCUGACUCUUAAUCAGCGGGUCCACGGUUCGAGCCCGUGCUCACCCACCA